GACGAACGCUGGCGGCGUGCUUAACACAUGCAAGUCGAGCGGUAAGGCCUCUUCGGGGGUACACGAGCGGCGAACGGGUGAGUAACACGUGGGUGACCUGCCCUCAGCUCUGGGAUAAGCCUGGGAAACUGGGUCUAAUACCGGAUAUGACCUUUCCUCGCAUGGGGUUUGGUGGAAAGUUUUUUCGGCUGGGGAUGGGCCCGCGGCUAUCAGCUUGUUGGUGGGGUGAUGGCCUACCAAGGCGACGACGGGUAGCCGGCCUGAGAGGGCGACCGGCCACACUGGGACUGAGACACGGCCCAGACUCCUACGGGAGGCAGCAGUGGGGAAUAUUGCGCAAUGGGCGGAAGCCUGACGCAGCGACGCCGCGUGGGGGAUGACGGCCUUCGGGUUGUAAACCUCUUUCGACCCCGACGAAUUUGGACGGUAGGGGUAGAAGAAGCACCGGCCAACUACGUG
RNAcentral lists this ribosomal RNA (459 nucleotides) under uncultured bacterium. Its description in RNAcentral is "partial 16S ribosomal RNA". It matches the Rfam family "Bacterial small subunit ribosomal RNA", at positions 28 to 507 of the family's 1533-position model. The record is from RNAcentral.